ACACAUGCAAGUCGAGCGGAGAUGAGGUGCUUGCACCUUAUCUUAGCGGCGGACGGGUGAGUAAUGCUUAGGAAUCUGCCUAUUAGUGGGGGACAACAUUCCGAAAGGAAUGCUAAUACCGCAUACGUCCUACGGGAGAAAGCAGGGGAUCUUCGGACCUUGCGCUAAUAGAUGAGCCUAAGUCGGAUUAGCUAGUUGGUGGGGUAAAGGCCUACCAAGGCGACGAUCUGUAGCGGGUCUGAGAGGAUGAUCCGCCACACUGGGACUGAGACACGGCCCAGACUCCUACGGGAGGCAGCAGUGGGGAAUAUUGGACAAUGGGGGGAACCCUGAUCCAGCCAUGCCGCGUGUGUGAAGAAGGCCUUAUGGUUGUAAAGCACUUUAAGCGAGGAGGAGGCUACUGAGACUAAUACUCUUGGAUAGUGGACGUUACUCGCAGAAUAAGCACCGGCUAACUCUGUGCCAGCAGCCGCGGUAAUACAGAGGGUGCGAGCGUUAAUCGGAUUUACUGGGCGUAAAGCGUGCGUAGGCGGCUUUUUAAGUCGGAUGUGAAAUCCCCGAGCUUAACUUGGGAAUUGCAUUCGAUACUGGGAAGCUAGAGUAUGGGAGAGGAUGGUAGAAUUCCAGGUGUAGCGGUGAAAUGCGUAGAGAUCUGGAGGAAUACCGAUGGCGAAGGCAGCCAUCUGGCCUAAUACUGACGCUGAGGUACGAAAGCAUGGGGAGCAAACAGGAUUAGAUACCCUGGUAGUCCAUGCCGUAAACGAUGUCUACUAGCCGUUGGGGCCUUUGAGGCUUUAGUGGCGCAGCUAACGCGAUAAGUAGACCGCCUGGGGAGUACGGUCGCAAGACUAAAACUCAAAUGAAUUGACGGGGGCCCGCACAAGCGGUGGAGCAUGUGGUUUAAUUCGAUGCAACGCGAAGAACCUUACCUGGCCUUGACAUACUAGAAACUUUCCAGAGAUGGAUUGGUGCCUUCGGGAAUCUAGAUACAGGUGCUGCAUGGCUGUCGUCAGCUCGUGUCGUGAGAUGUUGGGUUAAGUCCCGCAACGAGCGCAACCCUUUUCCUUACUUGCCAGCAUUUCGGAUGGGAACUUUAAGGAUACUGCCAGUGACAAACUGGAGGAAGGCGGGGACGACGUCAAGUCAUCAUGGCCCUUACGGCCAGGGCUACACACGUGCUACAAUGGUCGGUACAAAGGGUUGCUACACAGCGAUGUGAUGCUAAUCUCAAAAAGCCGAUCGUAGUCCGGAUUGGAGUC
This 1259-nucleotide ribosomal RNA is filed under the name Acinetobacter junii. RNAcentral's name for it is "bacterial SSU rRNA". It matches the Rfam family "Bacterial small subunit ribosomal RNA", at positions 51 to 1305 of the family's 1533-position model. Lineage: Bacteria; Pseudomonadati; Pseudomonadota; Gammaproteobacteria; Moraxellales; Moraxellaceae. The record is from RNAcentral.